RNAcentral lists this ribosomal RNA (363 nucleotides) under uncultured soil bacterium. RNAcentral's name for it is "bacterial SSU rRNA". It matches the Rfam family "Bacterial small subunit ribosomal RNA", at positions 26 to 402 of the family's 1533-position model. The record is from RNAcentral.
AGAACGAACGCUGGCGGCAUGCCUAAUACAUGCAAGUCGAACGAACUCUUCGGAGUUAGUGGCGCACGGGUGCGUAACGCGUGGGAAUCUGCCCCUUGGUUCGGAAUAACAGUUGGAAACGACUGCUAAUACCGGAUGAUGACGAAAGUCCAAAGAUUUACCGCCAAGGGAUGAGCCCGCGUAGGAUUAGCUAGUUGGUGAGGUAAAGGCUCACCAAGGCAACGAUCCUUAGCUGGUCUGAGAGGAUGAUCAGCCACACGUGGGACUGAGACACCGGCCCAGACCUCCGUACGGGAGGCAGCGAGGUAAGGGAAUAGUUGGAACAAGUGGGACGUAAGCCUGACUCCGAGACAAUCGCCGCGU